GGAGAGGUGGCAGAGUGGUCUAACGCGCCGCACUCGAAAUGCGGUGUGGCCGAAAGGUCACCGGGGGUUCGAAUCCCUCCCUCUCCGCCA
This 90-nucleotide transfer RNA is filed under the name Verrucomicrobiales bacterium VVV1. RNAcentral describes it as "tRNA-Ser". It matches the Rfam family "tRNA". From Rfam's summary of the family: Transfer RNA (tRNA) molecules are approximately 80 nucleotides in length. Lineage: Bacteria; Pseudomonadati; Verrucomicrobiota; Verrucomicrobiia; Verrucomicrobiales. The record is from RNAcentral.